GUGAACGCUGGCGGUAGGCCUAACACAUGCAAGUCGAACGGCAGCACAGUAAGAGCUUGCUCUUACGGGUGGCGAGUGGCGGACGGGUGAGGAAUACAUCGGAAUCUACUUUUUCGUGGGGGAUAACGUAGGGAAACUUACGCUAAUACCGCAUACGACCUACGGGUGAAAGCAGGGGAUCUUCGGACCUUGCGCGAUUGAAUGAGCCGAUGUCGGAUUAGCUAGUUGGCGGGGUAAAGGCCCACCAAGGCGACGAUCCGUAGUUGGUCUGAGAGGAUGAUCAGCCACACUGGAACUGAGACACGGUCCAGACUCCUACGGGAGGCAGCAGUGGGGAAUAUUGGACAAUGGGCGCAAGCCUGAUCCAGCCAUACCGCGUGGGUGAAGAAGGCCUUCGGGUUGUAAAGCCCUUUUGUUGGGAAAGAAAAGCAGCAGGUUAAUACCCCGCUGUUCUGACGGUACCCAAAGAAUAAGCACCGGCUAACUUCGU
Molecule: ribosomal RNA, 490 nt
Filed under: uncultured bacterium
Lineage: Bacteria
Description: partial 16S ribosomal RNA
Rfam family: Bacterial small subunit ribosomal RNA
Source: RNAcentral